GACGAACGCUGGCGGCGUGCUUAACACAUGCAAGUCGAACGGAAAGGCCCUGCUUUUGUGGGGUGCUCGAGUGGCGAACGGGUGAGUAACGCGUGAGUAACCUGCCCUUUACUUUGGGAUAACUUCAGGAAACUGGGGCUAAUACCGGAUAGGAGCUCCUGCUGCAUGGUGGGGGUUGGAAAGUUUCGGCGGUUGGGGAUGGACUCGCGGCUUAUCAGCUUGUUGGUGGGGUAGUGGCUUACCAAGGCUUUGACGGGUAGCCGGCCUGAGAGGGUGACCGGCCACAUUGGGACUGAGAUACGGCCCAGACUCCUACGGGAGGCAGCAGUGGGGAAUAUUGCACAAUGGGCGGAAGCCUGAUGCAGCAACGCCGCGUGCGGGAUGACGGCCUUCGGGUUGUAAACCGCUUUCGCCUGUGACGAAGCGUGAGUGACGGUAAUGGGUAAAGAAGCACCGGCUAACUACGUG
RNAcentral lists this ribosomal RNA (468 nucleotides) under uncultured bacterium. RNAcentral describes it as "partial 16S ribosomal RNA". It matches the Rfam family "Bacterial small subunit ribosomal RNA", at positions 28 to 507 of the family's 1533-position model. The record is from RNAcentral.